GGGCGCUUAGCUCAGCUGGUUAGAGCGCGUCUCUGAUAAGGACGAGGUCCCUGGUUCGAGUCCAGGAGCGCCCA
Molecule: transfer RNA, 74 nt
Filed under: Actinomycetota bacterium
Lineage: Bacteria; Bacillati; Actinomycetota
Description: tRNA-Ile
Rfam family: tRNA
About the family: Transfer RNA (tRNA) molecules are approximately 80 nucleotides in length. Their secondary structure includes four short double-helical elements and three loops (D, anti-codon, and T loops).
Source: RNAcentral